Molecule: non-coding RNA, 86 nt
Filed under: Sulfitobacter sp. HI0023
Lineage: Bacteria; Pseudomonadati; Pseudomonadota; Alphaproteobacteria; Rhodobacterales; Roseobacteraceae
Also listed under: 1 other name
Description: Oceanibulbus sp. HI0023 Glycine riboswitch aptamer
Rfam family: Glycine riboswitch aptamer
About the family: This family represents the bacterial glycine riboswitch.
Source: Rfam by way of RNAcentral
GCAUCCGUCACGGGAGAAUCGGCCUUGCCGAUGCCGAAGGAGCAACCGCCCCGGAAACUCUCAGGCCGCAGGACCGCGACGGGACC